This 1101-nucleotide long non-coding RNA is filed under the name Mustela putorius furo (domestic ferret). RNAcentral's name for it is "lncRNA (ENSMPUG00000024852.1)". The record is from RNAcentral. Lineage: Eukaryota; Metazoa; Chordata; Mammalia; Carnivora; Mustelidae.
CCCCAGCACACGGCAGGACACAUAGUGGGCAAACAGUACAAAAUGGCGAUUCUCACAGCCCAUUUUACAGGAAGGCCAGACCUGCAGCCUGUAAAGAUGGAAAGUGAUUUCCUGAAGGACACGAUCCAGUAAAACGCUCAACCCAAGUCUUGCUAUCUUCAGACUCGGGGCUUUUCACUUGGCAGAGGGUGCUUAUGAACACGCCUGUAUGGUUUACAUAUAGGGUGUUCAUAUAGAUGGCCUCAAGUGGCCUUCGUAAUAGCCUGGUGAGGGAGGGACACCAUUUUUUAACUUAACGAAUAAGGGAACAGUCUCAGAUGUCAGGCAAUUUGUCAGACCAACCAGCCCCAAACAAGGGCUUUGCAGAGCUGUGUUUAAAUGUUAGUACCGUCCCUUCUUGCUCCUGAUUUAACUGAGGGCCAGAGGGGAGAAAAGUGGAGACCGAAGGAAGUUAAAGGGCGCUCCAGCAAACUAGAUCUACUUUACAGUCGUGUCCUGACACUAAUAAGCUGUAAAUGGCAUUCACCUGCGGACAAAUAAAGUGACCGCACUAGAGAUGCUGACUUAGUUAGCUGCCAGCGGGAGCGAUAUGCAAACUACUUAGCCAGCAAGGCAGAAAGGAGCUCCCCCGCCCUACGACCCUGGAGCUCAUGGGGUGCAAGUUUCUCCCUCUUCCAGACACUUCCAUCUUCUGUUCAUUUUAUACUGUGUCUGAAUGAAGAAGUAGAGGGGAUACAAACGGAGGAAAAUGAAAUCAGUGCUCAGGCCUGGAUUGGUGGAGACGGGAGGUGCCAUGGUUAGCUCGGACAAAGGCGGAACAUUCGGGCAAGGUGAACAUUCCCUGCCCACUGGGGCAGGUUUGCCCUAAAGAAAGUGAGAAAGGAUAUUGCCCCCUCUGUGGCUAAUGGGGUAAAAAAGGGUACUUCCUUAGCUCUGCAGCUUGUACCAUCACAUAAAUGGAAACAGACAGAAUUACCAUUGAUACAAAUUAAAAACAAAUAAAAAGGGUACACAGAGCUGAUUCUGAGAGUUCAAACUCCAUUACCCGCUGAUUUACUGAGCAGUGACCUGUGAUUGUGGGGGGAGGGCGGGAGGAGUGAG